Molecule: ribosomal RNA, 253 nt
Filed under: uncultured bacterium
Lineage: Bacteria
Description: partial 16S ribosomal RNA
Rfam family: Bacterial small subunit ribosomal RNA
Source: RNAcentral
UACGGAGGGUGCAAGCGUUAUCCGGAUUCACUGGGUUUAAAGGGUGCGUAGGUGGGUUGGUAAGUCAGUGGUGAAAUCUCCGUGCUUAACAUGGAAACUGCCAUUGAUACUACUGAUCUUGAAUUUUCUGGAGGUAAGCGGAAUAUGUCAUGUAGCGGUGAAAUGCUUAGAUAUGACAUAGAACACCAAUUGCGAAGGCAGCUGGCUACACAAAUAUUGACACUGAGGCACGAAAGCGUGGGGAUCAAACAGG